GAUCAUGGCUCAGAUUGAACGCUGGCGGCAGGCUUAACACAUGCAAGUCGAACGGUAACAUAAAGGAGCUUGCUUCUUUGAUGACGAGUGGCGGACGGGUGAGUAAUGCUUGGGAAUCUAGCUUAUGGAGGGGGAUAACUAUGGGAAACUGUAGCUAAUACCGCGUAGAAUCGGGAGAUGAAAGUGUGGGACCUUCGGGCCACAUUCCAUAGGAUGAGCCCAAGUGGGAUUAGGUAGUUGG
RNAcentral lists this ribosomal RNA (241 nucleotides) under uncultured bacterium. RNAcentral's name for it is "partial 16S ribosomal RNA". It matches the Rfam family "Bacterial small subunit ribosomal RNA", at positions 15 to 252 of the family's 1533-position model. The record is from RNAcentral.